Molecule: transfer RNA, 68 nt
Filed under: Isognathotermes ugandensis
Lineage: Eukaryota; Metazoa; Arthropoda; Insecta; Blattodea; Termitidae
Also listed under: 1 other name
Description: Cubitermes ugandensis tRNA-Ile
Source: RNAcentral
AAUGAUGUGCCUGAACUAAUAGGACUAUCGUGAUAGGAUAAAACAUGUAGUAUCAACUACCUUCAUUA